GAUGAACGCUGGCGGCGUGCCUAAUACAUGCAAGUCGAGCGAACAGACGAGGAGCUUGCUCCUCUGACGUUAGCGGCGGACGGGUGAGUAACACGUGGAUAACCUACCUAUAAGACUGGGAUAACUUCGGGAAACCGGAGCUAAUACCGGAUAAUAUAUUGAACCGCAUGGUUCAAUGGUGAAAGACGGUUUUGCUGUCACUUAUAGAUGGAUCCGCGCCGCAUUAGCUAGUUGGUAAGGUAACGGCUUACCAAGGCAACGAUGCGUAGCCGACCGGAGAGGGUGAUCGGCCACCCUGGAAGUGAGACACGGUCCAGACUCCUACGGGAGGCAGCAGUAGGGAAUCUUCCGCAAUGGGCGAAAGCAUGACGGAGCAACGCCGCGUGAGUGAUGAAGGUCUUCGGAUCGUAAAACUCUGUUAUUAGGGAAGAACAAAUGUGUAAGUAACUAUGCACGUCUUGACGGUACCUAAUCAGAAAGCCACGGCUAACUACGUG
This 497-nucleotide ribosomal RNA is filed under the name uncultured bacterium. Its description in RNAcentral is "partial 16S ribosomal RNA". It matches the Rfam family "Bacterial small subunit ribosomal RNA", at positions 28 to 507 of the family's 1533-position model. The record is from RNAcentral.